This 25-nucleotide transfer RNA is filed under the name Lepidophyma smithii (Smith's tropical night lizard). Its description in RNAcentral is "partial tRNA-Ser". Lineage: Eukaryota; Metazoa; Chordata; Lepidosauria; Squamata; Xantusiidae. The record is from RNAcentral.
AAGGGGUGUACAUCACAAAAAGAAC